RNAcentral lists this ribosomal RNA (274 nucleotides) under uncultured bacterium. RNAcentral's name for it is "partial 16S ribosomal RNA". It matches the Rfam family "Bacterial small subunit ribosomal RNA", at positions 523 to 796 of the family's 1533-position model. The record is from RNAcentral.
AUACGGAGGGUGCAAGCGUUAUUCGGAAUCACUGGGCGUAAAGGACGCGUAGGCGGGUUGGCAAGUCAGAUGUGAAAUCCUACAGCUUAACUGUAGAACUGCAUUUGAAACUGCUAACCUAGAGUAUGGGAGGGGGAGAUGGAAUUAGUGGUGUAGGAGUAAAAUCCGUAGAUACCACUAGGAAUACCGAAAGCGAAGGCGAUCUCCUGGAACAUAACUGACGCUAAGGCGUGAAAGCGUGGGGAGCAAACAGGAUUAGAAACCCUAGUAGUCC